CAGUAGCCGCGGUAAUACGUAGGUGGCAAGCGUUGUCCGGAAUUAUUGGGCGUAAAGGGCGCGUAGGCGGUUUGAUAAGUCUUGUGUGAAAUCUAUGGGCUCAACCCAUAGUCUGCACAGGAAACUGUCGGGCUUGAGAGUGGGAGAGGUGAGUGGAAUUUCCGGUGUAGCGGUGAAAUGCGUAGAUAUCGGAAGGAACACCUGUGGCGAAAGCGGCUCACUGGACCAUUUCUGACGCUGAUGCACGAAAGCCAGGGGGGCAAACAGGAUUAGAUACCCCGGUAGUCCCUGUCUCUUAUAC
Molecule: ribosomal RNA, 301 nt
Filed under: uncultured bacterium
Lineage: Bacteria
Description: partial 16S ribosomal RNA
Rfam family: Bacterial small subunit ribosomal RNA
Source: RNAcentral